UGGGGAAUAUUGCACAAUGGGCGCAAGCCUGAUGCAGCCAUGCCGCGUGUGUGAAGAAGGCCUUCGGGUUGUAAAGCACUUUCAGCGAGGAGGAAGGUGGUGAACUUAAUACGUUCAUCAAUUGACGUUACUCGCAGAAGAAGCACCGGCUAACUCCGUGCCAGCAGCCGCGGUAAUACGGAGGGUGCAAGCGUUAAUCGGAAUUACUGGGCGUAAAGCGCACGCAGGCGGUUUGUUAAGUCAGAUGUGAAAUCCCCGGGCUCAACCUGGGAACUGCAUUUGAAACUGGCAAGCUAGAGUCUCGUAGAGGGGGGCUAGAAUUCCAGGUGUAGCGGUGAAAUGCGUAGAGAUCUGGAGGAAUACCGGUGGCGAAGGCGGCCCCCUGGACGAAGACUGACGCUCAGGUGCGAAAGCGUGGGGCAGCAAACAGGAUUAGAUACCCUGG
Molecule: ribosomal RNA, 445 nt
Filed under: uncultured bacterium
Lineage: Bacteria
Description: partial 16S ribosomal RNA
Rfam family: Bacterial small subunit ribosomal RNA
Source: RNAcentral